Molecule: long non-coding RNA, 7697 nt
Organism: Symphalangus syndactylus (siamang)
Lineage: Eukaryota; Metazoa; Chordata; Mammalia; Primates; Hylobatidae
Source: RefSeq, a predicted model, not a curated record
GGCAAGUCGCGGGGAGCGCUGGGAAAUGGAGUCCAUAAGCGGAAGUUGCCCUUGGCCACUUUCAGGAGUCGCUGUGCCCCGAUGCACACUGGGAAGUCCGCAGCUCCGAGGAGCCCAGUGGAAAUCGCCAGAUGAGGGCCUCCUCCGGGGAAUGAUGGGAAAUGGAGUCUACAGGCCGGAGGGGUGCCCCACGGCAUACUAGGAAGCGCAGAGCACCGGGUAAAGGGGAUGAAUAGCAGGCUGCCCCGGGGCAGUUAGGAAUUCGACUGGACAGCCGCGUGGGAGGGAGUGCGGAGAGAGGCAGGGUUGUUUUGUUAUUGUUGUUUUAUUUUUUGUUUGUUUUGAGACGUAGUCUCGCUCUGUUGCCACGCUGGUUCAGUGGCGCGAUAUCGGCUCGCUGCAACCUCCGCUUCCCAGGUUCAAGCAGUUCUGCCUCAGUCCCCAGAGUAGCUGGGAUAACAGGCGCGCGCCACCCCGCCCUGCUAAUUUUUAUAUUUUUAGUAGAGACGGGAUUUCACCAUGUUGGCCAGGAUGGUCUUGAUCUCUUGACUUCGUCAUCCGCUCGCCUCGGCCUGUAAUCCUGCUGGGAUGACGAGCGUGAGCCACCACGCCUGGCUGAGUUUUAUUUAUUUUGGGUUUUUUCCUGACCCCUUAACUAGAAAUAAGCUCCACGAGAGCAGGAUCUUUUGUCUUCUGUGCACUACUUGUCCUCGGUUCGUAGAACAGAACCUGAGAGUACGUGAUCGCAAAUAUUUUUGGAAUGAAUGAAUGAAUGAAUGCGUUCACCAGGGCACCAUGGGAAACUGAGUCCGCAACCCAGAAGCCAUGAAAGACAGUCCAUUUCCAAGCUUCCCUGGGUGACCUCCCAGGGCAUGCUGGGAAAUAAAAUUUGCGGUGCAAAGGUCAGGACCACGAUCCUAGGGCACGCUGGGAAAUGUAGCCCACAGGGCCACAUCCCUAAGAGCACAGCGGGGUGCAAGGCAGGGCCCCAGGGCAUCUCGGGCUCGGGGCAAGAGAAAUCCACACUCCCUAAUGGUAAUCCCUGAGCCACACCGAGGAAAGGAACCCAAGACACAGCGUCCAGAGGGACAGGGCUCCCGGAGCCUUCCCUGGCCCGCGCUUCUCCUGCGCCCAUCUGGACCUCCUGGGAACCGUCCUGGCCCCCGCGCGCUCUCAAAGCAUGCUGGGAUUGGUGGUCCCGGGCAAGGAGUUCCAGCAGGUGGGGGGCGAAUCACCUUUCAGCGGGCCCAAGCGAUGAGCACACCUUGACCUUCACCUUACAGAUCCCGCGCCUAACUCCAGAUUGGGAAGGUGGCUGGCACUUUGAGACAGGAAGAGACCCGUAAAAAUCAUACGGAGAAGGGCCAAAAUCCGGACAGACUACAGACUGUUUCCCAAGCGCUGUGGGAGUUUCCCACCCACUGUGAAGUCCUUGGGUUUACGCGGAGAAGUAAACUGCGCAUCCCACGAGGCCUCUGUCUUUCCCUCUUUCUUGCUUUCUCUCUCUUUUUGUUGCUGUUACGAAAAUUUUUGUGGUACUAUUGUAUCAUGAGGCAUUGAAACAUCGGAACAACUCAAUGUCUGGGCGGUGAGGCAGCUGCUUUCUCCUUCACUUUCUUUGAGUUAGUAGAGCAACUUGUCAGUAGAUUUUUUUUUUUUUUUUUUUUUUGAGACAGAGGCUCCCUCUGUCACCCAGGCUGGAUGGAGUGCAGUGGCGCGUUGUCGGCUCACUGCAAGCCCUGCCUCCUGGGUUCAAGCGAUUCUCCUGCCUCAGCCUCCCGAGUAGCUGGGGUUAGGCGUGCUCCACCACGCCCAGCUAAUUUUUGUUUUUUUGGUAGAGACGAGGUUUCACCAUGUUGGCCAGGCUGGUCUCGAGUUCCUGACCUCGUGAUCCAACUGCCUCAGUCUCCCAAAACGCUGGGAUUACAGGCGUGAGCCACCGCAACCGGCCAGAUUUUUUUUUUUUAAAAGGACAACCUUUUGCAUUGCUAAAGUCUUUUUAAGGCAUGCGCUGGUACAACACAAACUUCUCCCAUUAGAUGCAACUAGUCUAGUGUCCAGACAUCAUGCACAACACCUCGGUGGCAUCAGCGCACUGCGCCCACUCCCACUGCAGCCCUGCUCAUUUGUGCAUCAUAUCUGGAGCAUCUGGAGGAGUGGCAAUAGUUCUGGAAAGAGGAGGGAAGAGGAGGCAGCGUGAGGGCCCAGUGGAGAGGAGGUCAGCUGAAGUUGUGCAGAGCAAGCCUGCAUAUCAUUGGUGCAAACCCAAGCAUCAUUGCAUCGUUGUUGUGUUUUGUUUGGUUUUGUUUUGUUUUUGAGAUGGAGUCUCACUGUGUCGCCCAGGCUGGAGUGCAGUGAUGUGAUCUCCGCUCACUGCAACCUCUGCCUCCUGGGUUCAAGUGAUUCUCCUACCUCAGCUUCCCAGGUAGCUGGGAUCACAGGCGUGCUCCAUGCCUGGCUAAUUUUUGUAUUUUUAGUAGAGACAAGGUUUCACCAUGUUGGCCAGGCUGGUGUCGAACUCCUGACCUCAAGUGAUCCACCCACCUCAGCUUCCCAAAGUGCUGGGAUUACAGGCGUGAGCCACCGCACCCAGCUGAUGUUAAUAGGAAUAUCUGGUGGAACCCCAUGAUGGGGUCUUCAUUCACCACGAAGCCUGUUUCUAUAGAAAGGGAUAGUUCUGGUGGCUCUUAGGUGUGGUCCCUGAACCCCACACUUUCCACAUACUUACACACCAACCUCCUUCCCCCAGGAAAACAAGAAGUCAAUCUUCAGGGUAUUAUCAUGUAGCUCUGGUUCUGUAUGUAUUCUGUGCCUUUAUGUAUAAUUGUGUGUAUUUGCAAUCAUGUCUGUGGCCGGAGGUAUGUUGUUUAUGAGUGUUUGUGUUUAUGGUUUUUGUUUGUUUGUUUUGAGAUGGAGUUUCACUCCUGUCAUCGCCCAGGCUGGAUUGCACUGGCGCAAUCAAAAAAGAGUAAAAUAACAGAAAUCAGAAUGGGCUUAUAAUACUCUUACCCCUCUCCACACCAGACAGAAGAGUCAAUUUUACACGUUCGUGGAUGUUCUAACUUCACCUCCUUAUCUAAACCAUCUUUAUGGUGCAGACUAGUAUCUAUUUUUCUGCUGUUACAGAAGAAGUGGGAACAUUUUCUUCUUAUCUUUCUGAGGUUAUUUACACCAGUGAGGAGGGCCUGCAGUUCCAAGGUUAAGCACCAACAUUCCACUGUUAUCAUUGAGAGCAAACAGCAGGCCCUAGAAGUGAAAACAAAACCUUUACCACAGAAAGACAAGAACAAAAGAUGAUGUCCUUGAGUGGCAUAUGAAGAUGCUCACAGCCAACAUCACAUGCCUGUCAGAUAUUUUAUGUACAUCAUCUCAUCAACUCCAGGAGGCAGAGACUAAGAGACUAGCCCCAGUCACAGAGCUAGAAAUUGGCCAAGACAAGGUUCAAUCUGAGGACUGUCAAAUCCAGAACUGGAAUUAUUUAUUCAUUUAUUUUGAGACGGAGUCUCGCUCUGUCACCCCGGCUGGAGUGCAGCGGCACGAUCUCAGCUCACUCCAACCUCCACCUCCCGGGUUCAAGUGAUUCUCAUGGGACUACAGGUGCACGCCACCACGGCUGGCUAGUUUUUGUAUUUUUAGUAGAUACAGGUUUUCACCACGUUGGCCAGGAUAGUCUCAAACUCCUGACCUCAUGAUCUGCCCGCCUCGGCCUCCCAAAGUGCUGGGAUUACAGGCAUGAGCCACUAUACCUGGCCUUAGAAGCCUCAGUUCCUGAUGGCGGUUGGGAUCUGCCUUUCCUUCCCUGGGCUGCCCAUCUCUUGUCUUUUAGGUUACAUGUGAGAAAACAAACCUCCAAUUCACCAAAACUUUGUUAUUUGGGGAGCUGUCUCUUACUAUCAGCCAAACAUAACUCCUCAAUGACAUUGUCAGUUUAGCACUGCCAUUAUAAUGAGGAGGGAUCUGGGUCCAGCUGUGGGAACAUGAAGAGGCACUGGUGGGAUGACCACAGCCAGCCCCUGUUGAUUCACCAGGAGACUGCAGAUGCACCAGCACGUCCAGCCAAGAUCAGCCAAGCCCAGCCAGACAAGAACUCCCAGUGGAGCCCAGCCCAAUUUGCCAACCCUCAAACUAUGAUUUUUUUUUUUUUUUUUGAGACGGACUCUUGGUCUGUCGCCCAGGCUGGAGUGCAGUGGCGCGAUCUCCCCUCACUGCAAGCUCCACCUCCUGGGUUCACGCCAUUCUCCUGCCUCAGCGUCCCGAGUAGCUGGGACUACAGAUGCCUGCCACCACACACUGCUAAUUUUUUUGUAUUUUUAAUAGAGAUGGGGUUUCACCAUGUUAGCCAGGAUGGUCUCAAUCUCCUGACCUCGUGAUCCAACUGCCUUGGCCUCCCAAAGUGCUGGGAUUACAGGCAUGAGCCACCGCGCCCAGCCCUCAAACCAUAAGUUAAAUAAAUGACUGCUGAUUACCCACUAAUAUUUGGGGUAACUUUUUUCUUUGCUUUUUUUUUUUGAGACCAAGUCCCACUCUGUCAUCCAGGCUGGAAUGCAGUGGCAUGACUGCAGCUUACUGCAACCUCCACCUCUGAGGUUCAAGUGAUUCUCCUGCCUCAGCCUCCUAAGUAACUGGGAUUACAGGCACCAGCCACCAUGCCCAGCUGCUUUUUGUGUGUUUUCAGUAGAGACAGGGUUUCACUAUGUUGACCAGCUGGUCUUGAACUCCUGGCCUCAAGUGAUCCACUCACCUCAGCCUCCCAAAGUGCUGGGAUUACAGGCAGGAGUGAGCCACCACAUUCGGCCUGGGGUAAUUUUUUUAUGCCACAAAAGCAAACUGAUGCAGGCAUUCCAAGAGGCCUUUGAGCCUGCUGAUUGCAAGACACUCUGCCUUUGAUAAAAUGUAGUGGACAGAGAAGCAGUGGUUUCAGUGGCAGAGAUGACAAAUUGUUGCCCAAUAUUCGUUGUCCCCUUCUUUCUCAACAUAAUGGAACCUCUGAUUUAUGCUGAGUUUAGCAUAGCCAUCUAGAAUAAUGGUUACAUUUCCCAGUGUCAGGCCUGUGAGCCCAAGCUAAGCCAUCAUAUCCUCUGUGGGCCUGCACAUAUACAUCCAGAUGGCCUGAAGCAACUGAAGAUCCACAGAAGAAGUGAAAAUGGUCUUACCCGAUGACAUUCCACCACUGUGAUUUGUUCCCGCCCCACCCUAACUGAUACGAUAUAUUCCGCCCGGCCCUUAAGAAGGUACUUUGUAAUAUUCUCCCCGCCCUUGAGAAUGUACUUUGCAAGCCCAUCCCAAACCUAUAAGAACUAAUGAUAAUCCCACCUUUGCUGACUCUCUUUUCAGACUCAGCCUGCCUGCACCCAGGUGAAAUAAACAGCCUUGCUGCUCACACAAAGCCUGUUUGGUGGUCUCUUCACACGGACACGCAUGACAUUUGGUGCCGUGACUCGGAUCGGGGGAUCUCCCUUGGGAGAUCAAUCUCCUGUCCUCCUGCUCUUUGCUCCGUGAGAAAGAUCCACCUUCGACCUCGGGGCCUCAGACCAACCAGCCCAAGGAACAUUUUACCAAUUUUAAAUCGGGACCCCACUGGAAAUUGGACUGUCCAACUUGCCCAGCAGCCACUCCCAAAGCCCCUGGAACUCCAGCCCAAGGCUCUCUGACUGACUCCUUCCCAGAUCUUCUCAGCUUAGUGGCUGAAGACUGACGCUGCCCAAUCACCUUGGAAGCCUCCUGGACCAUCACAGAUGCUUUGGGCAACUCUUACAGUGGAGGAAGGCAGGAAUGUCAGGCCUCUGAGCCCAAGCUAAACCAUCAUAUCCCCUGUGACCUGCACGUACACAUCCAAAUGGCCUGAAGCAACUGAAGAUCCACAAAAGAAGUGAAAAUAGCCUUAACUGAUGACAUUCCACCACUGUGAUUUGUUCCCACCCCACCCUGAUACCAUAUAUUCUCCCUCACCCUUAAGAAGGUACUUUGUAAUAUUCUCCUCCCUUAAGAAGGUACUUUGUAAUAUUCUCCCCCCUCUUAAGAAGGUACUUUGUAAUAUUCCCCCCCACCUUAAGAAGGUACUUUGUAAUAUUCUCCCCCCUUAAGAAGGUACUUUGUAAUAUUUUCCCCCUCUUAAGAAGGUACUUUGUAAUAUUCUUCCCCCCCUUAAGAAAGUACUUUGUAAUAUUCUCUCCCCCUUAAGAAGGUACUUUGGAAUAUUCUCCCCCCACUUAAGAAGGUACUUUGGAAUAUUCUCCCCCCACUUAAGAAGGUACUUUGUAAUAUUCUCCCCCACCUUAAGAAGGUACUUUGUAAUAUUCUCCCCACUCUUAAGAAGGUACUUUGUAAUAUUCUCCCCCCACCUUAAGAAGGUAUUUUGUAAUAUUCUCCCCGCUCUUAAGAAGGUACUUUGUAAUAUUCUCCCCCACCUUUAGAAGGUACUUUGUAAUAUUCUCCCCACCCUUGAGAAUGUACUUUGUACACCCAUCUCAAACCUAUAAAAACUAAUGAUAAUCCCACCAUCGUUUGCUGACUCCUUUUUCGGACUCAGCCCACCUGCACCCACUGUAGGUUCCCAUGCUGCCCCUAAUCCCACUCGAAGCAGCCCUGAGAAACAUCGCCCAUUAUCUCUCCAUGCCACCCCCAAAAAUUUUCGCUGCCCCAACACUUCACCACUGUUUUGUUUUGUUUUUCUUAUUAAUAUAAGAAGGCAGGAAUGUCAGGCCUCUGAGCCCAAGCUAAACCAUCAUAUCCCCUGUGACCUGCACGUACACAUCCAGAUGGCCUGAAGCAACUGAAGAUCCACGAAAGAAGUGAAAAUAGCCUUAACUGAUGACAUUCCACCACUGUGAUUUGUUCCCACCCCACACUAACUGAUACCAUAUAUUCUGCCCCACCCUUAAGAAGGUACUUUGUAAUAUUCUCCCCCCACCGUUAAGAAGGUACUUUGUAAUAUUCUCCCCCCACCGUUAAGAAGGUACUUUGUAAUAUUCUCCCCCCACCCUUAAGAAGGUACUUUGUAAUACUCUCCUCCCCCACCACCCCACCCUUAAGAAGGUACUUUGUAAUAUUCUCCCCCCACCCCGCCCGCUUAAGAAGGUACUUUGUAAUAUUCUCCUCCCUACCCCAGCUUAAGAAGGUACUUUGUAAUAUUCUCCUCCCUACCCCAGCUUAAGAAGGUACUUUGUAAUAUUCUCCUCUCCCGUCUUAAAAGGUACUUUGUAGUAUUCUCUCCACCCUCCCCCCCACCCCUAAGGAGGUACUUUGUAAUAUUCUCCCCCCACCCAAGAAGGUACUUUGUAAUAUUCUCCCCCCACCCAAGAAGGUAUUUUGUAAUAUUCUCCCCCAACCCAAGAAGGUACUUUGUAAUAUUCUUCCCCCACUUAAGAAGGUAAUUUGUAAUAUUCUUUCCCCAACCUUAAGAAGGUAUUUUGUAAUAUUCCCCCCACCUUAAGAAGGUACUUUGUAAUAUUCUCCUCCCCACCUUAAGAAGAUACUUUGUAGUAUUCUCUCCACCCCCCCCUUAAGAAGGUACUUUGUAAUAUUCUCCCCCCCAGAAGGUACUUUGUAAUAUUCUCCCCACCCUUGAGAAUGUACUUUGUAUGCCCGUCUCAAACCUGUAAGAACUAAUGGUAAUCCCAUCAUCCUUUGCUGACUCUCUUUUCGGACUCAGCCCGCCUGCACCCAGGUGAAAUAAACAGCCUUGUUACUCACACAAA